Molecule: long non-coding RNA, 683 nt
Organism: Triticum dicoccoides
Lineage: Eukaryota; Viridiplantae; Streptophyta; Magnoliopsida; Poales; Poaceae
Exons: 2
Source: RefSeq, a predicted model, not a curated record
AGGAGCAGGAGCAGGAGCAGGAGGGCCGUGGCGGCCAUCCACCCGCCGUGACUGAGGCUGGGCGACGUGCCGGCCAUCGGGCACCUCUCCGGUGCCCUUAAGACCGACGCCGCGACCUUCCCUCCCGAACCCUAGCCGCUUCCCCCUCUCUCGCGUUGCUCGCUCCCCCGCACACACACCAGUACGGUCGUCGCAGCGUCGUCGCCGCUGCCGUGGCCUUUGACCUCCCCUCGCCACUCCGUCCUGUCCAGGAGCUCCGUCUGCCUCGUCUACCUCCUCUAAGGGCACCAGUUUGAGUCCCCUCGCGCUACAUCGACCGGAUCGAGUCAUCUUCCUCCUACGGUUGCCGUGGAGCUUCGGUCGAUCUGCACCAUCCCGGCAACCCCGGCCUCCCCGACCAUGUCCACGAGCUUCGCGAUGCUGGAGCCUAGGAUCUGGACGAUACCACUGACGAUUACUACCACCCCGAGGGUGCCUACUACUACGUGGAGGCCGCCGACGAACAUGAGUAGUUAGGAGGCUCCCAGGCAGGAGGCCUUGCCUUUUCGACCGUUGUUGCUUUUGUGCUAGCCUUCUAAAGGCAAACUUGUAUAACUCAUGUCUGUAUUCAGAUAUUGUUGCUUCCGCUGACUCUUGUGUUUUCGAGCUUAUGUAUUCGAGCCCUUGAGGCCCCUGGCUUGUAA